RNAcentral lists this transfer RNA (146 nucleotides) under Pantoea agglomerans. RNAcentral's name for it is "tRNA-OTHER". The record is from RNAcentral. Lineage: Bacteria; Pseudomonadati; Pseudomonadota; Gammaproteobacteria; Enterobacterales; Erwiniaceae.
GGCAGCAGAGCGGAACGCUAUGCGCCACUUUCCAUCACUAUUCGGCCUAAAGAAAACAUCAAAAUCAGUAAGUUACUGAUUUCACUCGUUUCGAAUUGGGACUCAUAAUCGCUUGGUCGCUGGUUCAAACCCAGCAGGGGCCACCA